UACGGGGGGAGCAAGCGUUGUUCGGAUUUACUGGGCGUAAAGGGCGCGUAGGCGGUCAGUGCAAGUCAGUUGUGAAAUCUCUGGGCUUAACCCAGAACGGUCAACUGAUACUGCUCGACUAGAGUACAGAAGGGGCAACUGGAAUUCUCGGUGUAGCGGUGAAAUGCGUAGAUAUCGAGAGGAACACCUGCGGCGAAGGCGGGUUGCUGGGCUGAUACUGACGCUGAGGCGCGAAAGCUAGGGGAGCGAACGGG
This 254-nucleotide ribosomal RNA is filed under the name uncultured bacterium. RNAcentral describes it as "partial 16S ribosomal RNA". It matches the Rfam family "Bacterial small subunit ribosomal RNA", at positions 524 to 776 of the family's 1533-position model. The record is from RNAcentral.